UACGGAGGGGGCGAGCGUUAUUCGGAAUUAUUGGGCGUAAAGGGCGCGUAGGCGGGAUGGCAAGUCGGUCGUGAAAUCCUUCGGCUCAACCGAAGAACGUCGAUCGAUACUGCUGUUCUUGAGGGUUGCAGAGGAGACUGGAAUUCCCGGUGUAGCGGUGAAAUGUGUAGAGAUCGGGAGGAACACCGGUGGCGAAGGCGGGUCUCUGGGCAAUUCCUGACGCUGAGGCGCGAAAGCGUGGGGAGCAAACGGG
This 253-nucleotide ribosomal RNA is filed under the name uncultured bacterium. Its description in RNAcentral is "partial 16S ribosomal RNA". It matches the Rfam family "Bacterial small subunit ribosomal RNA", at positions 524 to 776 of the family's 1533-position model. The record is from RNAcentral.